CUAGCACUCAUGUCUGUAGCCAUGAAGUGCUUUGAAAGGCAGGUCAUGGCUCACAUAGCACAUGCGACAAAUACAUUUAUUUGAUUUGAUUCUUGGGUCUCACAGACACUAACCACAAGCUAUUUCCUUUAGUUCUGCGCUGAAUCACAUAAGAAACAUUUCAUGGGUUGUCUUCUUUUGGCAUAUAGCUAAAGGGAAACUGUAGUUGUUCAGUAAUUUUGCUUCAUUGUGAAAGCAGACAGUAUGGAGGCGAUUCAAGAAUGGGUCAAACAAUCAAAGGGAAUUGUGCCUAAUGUGGCUUGUAGCUUCUGCCUUGUGGUCUUGGAGAAGAUUCUGGAGCUGGAGGUUCGGUGUCCCUGCAAUUAUAUAUAUAAAAUGUUCUUUACGAUUGCAUUCUUUAUCAUUCCUGCCCUGUUAUCAUUCUUGCUGAUGCUACAAGUUCAAGGAUCUAGGGGUAACAUAGUAAAAUGGAAGGCUUACUUGUCAAGCCUCAUUCCUUCGUUGGUGUGGUGGAUCGUACUGUUCUUUGAUGGCAGAUACGUUGCUUAUGCCAUGACAAAAUUAAAUGAAACAGGGGUCAUUCGUAAUGAAGAUUUUUCUGUGAAAAUGUGUGACGAAGCAGGGAAAGAUCAACAUCAGAAUUUCCUUUUUUGGGAAAUCUGUUCUCAGGGCAUUGGUAUGGCUCUGCUCUUGGUCGCCUGUGGGGCAGUUAUAGUAUCCAUAUGCAACAACUACACCUGGGAUUUAGGAGAAGUCAGUGAUGACGUUACAGAAAGAAGAAGAGGCAUCGGAAGCAGUGUAAGAACAGGAGGAGGAGGACGAGGAGGAAGAGGUGGAGGAGGACUAGGAGGAAGAGGAGGAGAAGGAACAGAAGCAGCACAGGCAUCAGAAGCAGGAGGAGGAGCAGGAGCAGGAGGAGGAGGAGGAGGAGGAACAGGAGCAGAAGCAGCACAGGCAUCAGAAGCAAGAGGAGGAGCAGGAGGAGUACAGGCAUUAGAAGCAGGAGGAGGAGCAGCAGAAGAAGAAGCAGUACAGGCAUCAGAAGCAGGAGGACGAGGAGGAGGAGGAGCAGGAGCAGGAGGAGUACAGGCAUUAGAAGCUGGUGGAGGAGGAGGAGGAGGAGGAGGAGCAGGAGGAGUACAGGCAUUAGAAGCAGGAGGACGAGGAGGAGGAGCAGGAGAAGGAGGAGUACAGGCAUUAGAAGCAGGAGGAGGAGGAGGAGGAGGAGGAGCAGGAGAAGGAGGAGUACAGGCAUUAGAAGCAGGAGGAGGAGGAGGAGCAGGAGGAGUACAGGCAUUAGAAGCAGGAGGACGAGGAGCAGGUGCAGAAGCAGUACAGGCAUCAGAAGCAGGAGGAGGAGCAGGAGAAUCAGAAGCAGGAGGAGGAGAAGGAAGAGGAGCAGAAGAAGUAGAUGCUUUGCUUCCAGAAAUUUGACGUCACCCCAUUGAAGUUAUGAAUUAAAAAGGAUUCAGGUUAGGUUUAGGGUUUAGGGUGGGGUUGAAGAAGCUGUUGAGAUGGUACGCAGGCCCAGAAAUGGAUAAAAAUGUGCUGUAUAAAAUUACAUUGGUAAAAAUGGUAUGUUUGUUUUUUUCUUCUUCACACAAUCAAUAAGUAACCAAUUUAUAACGUUUUUAUUUCUGAGUGUGGAGAUUAAGGAGUGUUUUCUCUGACACAGAUUAAGCCUAGUCCUGGACUAAAAAACACGUUUAUUAGCGAGUCUCCAUUGAAAUGCUUUUUAGUCCAGGAUUAAGGUGUAUCCGUGUCCACAAAAGCGACACUAAGGCUGAGUUUACAAAGGAAGACCAACUCUGAUCUUUUGACAAUUAUUUGUUCUAUUUAAUACAGUACAUACAGUAUCUGAUGUUUUUUUUCCAGUGAGUAAAAAACAACAACAUAAAACACAUUGAAUCUGAUCUUUUGAGUUCUGGUUUGUACCACAUUUGUAUGUGGUUUCCAAUCAAUUCUGAUCCAUCAUGCAACAGUCUGGACGCUGAUUUCUUCCACAUGACCUGCAGUUGCCAAAACAACCACCCCAAAAUGUAAUGGAACAAUGACAGAAAAUGGACUGAAAAAACCCAUCUGAAUUGGGUUCCUACGUCCCUGCCACAUUACAGCCGUCGGUCGUCCUGCACUAUCAUCAGCCAUCAGCCAUUGAGGGAAUGCUUCCUUUGCAAUCAAUGAAAGCUACUGACAAGAGUAGUAGCUUAAGCCUCAGCUCUCUGUGACAUUGUAGAGACACAACUUGCAGAUACCCACGCACACUCAUGAAGAAGUUUCACUUUCACACGCAGAGCACAAAGAAGAAUGAACAUUGAGAGGGAAUUGGCAUUGAUUAAAGAAAAUAAGAAAUUAUUGGGAGUGGAAUUUGUUAAAAUAAUGAUUGAAGGUUAAAGGUUGGAAACGGGAAAAUAUACAGUCUGCAAUAUCCUGCUUAAAUUUGUCCACUUUGCCAAUGAAAUAAUCAAUAAAAUAAUUGGCAACAUCAAAUGGUUUUGUGAUGAAUAAGCCAUCUGAUUCGACGAAAGAUGGAGUUGAAUUUGUCUUUCUGCUCAUAAUUUUAUUAAAAGUACUGCAAAGUUUAAUAAAGUUCAUAGUACAGUUUCUUCUUCUCUUUGUUGAGUUUAGUCACAUCAUUUCUAGUAAGUAUUUGCAGUAAGUCAGCCAGUCAGAUGUGCAGCCAGACUUAUUAGUCACUCCUUUUGC
Molecule: long non-coding RNA, 2703 nt
Organism: Oncorhynchus tshawytscha (Chinook salmon)
Lineage: Eukaryota; Metazoa; Chordata; Actinopteri; Salmoniformes; Salmonidae
Source: Ensembl